AAAUAGAACUUUGCAGAGAGAGUUAAGAGGGCGUGACCGUUAAUUGAGAAACGAAUCGGAGCCACGAAGUCGUUUCGUUGUUUAGUGGGGCCAAGUUCAGUUUGUGAGCAAAACUCAUGGGCGUAUUCUUGUGUCCUGCCAAACCUUGUAAGCGUACACUGCAACCAGUUAGACGAUUGGUUAUGAGCCCAGUUGUGCAUCUAGGUAACUAGAAGUAUAGCGACGCAUUUGUUUGCUCGGGUUAGUAGUAGCGUUGUGCAUUUCGGUGCAUUUAUGUUGCUGGGCCCGUGGCAAGUGAAUUAUAACCAAAUACUGACUGGCAAAAUGAAAAUCGCAUUUUAUGCGUAAUACAAAAUGCAGCUAGUUGCAUUGAUGUCUACACAUUAGACUAUUGGGUUUAAGCUCGGCAUUUUUGAAUUCAGACUUGCUUGCUACCAGUGGGGCAACUCCUGGUGCUUGUUUAGCUUCUGUCUAAUCGGGUGUCGACUUGACUCUGUACGUUCUGGUGUGAAACGAUUGGAUGUUAAUGUAAGCUGGUUCGCAAUAAUUGGCAGUGAGUAGGUCGGCUUUCCGAACGACCCGUCUUGAAACACGGACCAAGGAGUCUAAUUAGGCAUCGAGUCGAUCGGUCUUGAUAGGCCAGACUGAUGGGAGCAAUCCUGUCGAAUGAAGGCGUAGAGAAAUCAAAUCGUGUGAUCAUGUUAGCAACAACAGCUUUCAUGCGCAACAUGUGCCUGUUCGUAUAGCAAUGUUGCAAAACUUGCUGAGCGGAGCAAAGAGAUACCUGAUUGGUACCCGAAAGAUGGUGAACUAUGCCUGGGCAAAUUGAAGCCAGAGGAAACUCUGGUGGAGGAUUGUAGCGAUUCUGACGUGCAAAUCGAUCGUCAGACCUGGGUAUAGGGGCGAAAGACUAAUCGAACCAUC
Molecule: ribosomal RNA, 924 nt
Filed under: Vasates desmodius
Lineage: Eukaryota; Metazoa; Arthropoda; Arachnida; Trombidiformes; Eriophyidae
Description: eukaryotic LSU rRNA
Rfam family: Eukaryotic large subunit ribosomal RNA
Source: RNAcentral